AUACGGAGGGAGCAAGCGUUGUUCGGAAUCACUGGGCGUAAAGCGAGUGUAGGUUGUCAGGUAAGAGGAUGUGAAAGCCCGGGGCUCAACCCCGGAAUUGCAUUCUAAACUGCCUGGCUAGAGUCCCGGAGAGGGAGGUGGAAUUCCGAGUGUAGAGGUGAAAUUCGUAGAUAUUCGGAGGAACACCAGAGGCGAAGGCGACCUCCUGGACGGUGACUGACACUGAGACUCGAAAGCGUGGGGAGCAAACCGGAUUAGAAACCCUAGUAGUCC
Molecule: ribosomal RNA, 273 nt
Filed under: uncultured bacterium
Lineage: Bacteria
Description: partial 16S ribosomal RNA
Rfam family: Bacterial small subunit ribosomal RNA
Source: RNAcentral